AACAAAUUCCAAUAUUAGAUGACAUCUCCACUACCUAAGAUGAAAGAUAGGUUAAAUCCCCCAAAUCUAUCAUAUAAGAAAAGUCUACCAUUUGAGACUUUCUUAGGCUAUCCACAUCAGCAUCUGUUCCAUGGUUAAUCCACAUCAGCUUUGGGGGUUAAUACUGAAUUUUUGAUCAUUUCACCCUCCCAGCUUCUCAUGUUGUUGCAGUUACGCAUUGUUCAUCAUUGUGUGCCUAUCCACGUUCCAAACAGUUUGCAGACAUAAAUGGCCUCAUGUAAUGGUUACCAAACUUCAAUUCCAACCCUUCUGCUUCCUCACCUUUUCCAAUUCUUUUCAAUUUUACGGCUCCUCCUUCAACCUUCAUCAAACCACAUAGCAAAAUAACACCUUCCUGAGAAUGAGAAAACAGAGAUAACAAAAAAAUCGUGAGAGAGUUUGCGAAGAAACCUCAACCAAGAAAUCUGUUGUUAUUGAUGUGAACAGAUUGAACCGUUCCAGAUCUCUUAUCAUCGUCUCCGACCGUCCUCAUUAAGCAACACGAAACGAUGAGAAUUCCGGAAACAAAAACUCAGAGUGACUGGAUAAUUCUUCAAGUAGAACAACCACUUUGAUAAAAGUUUGAAAUUUAAACGUUAAAGAUUUAAGAAUGAAUGGUGUUCUUGAAGAUUGUUGAGAACUGAGAUGGAGAUGAAGUUUGAGGAUUUGUUCCUUCUUCCUCUGCAUCUUCAUACAAAAUUGUUUCUUCUUAUCGAUUUUUUUUCAAUUCUUUUGGAUUACUUACGUAAUUGAUUUCCUGUUCACGGCUGUGUUGCUUGAGGUUCAUCGACGAUGGAUGACUUCACGUUAUGGUGUAUGCGGCUGUGUCGAUCUUUGCCGGAAGGGUGAUGCUCGCGGUGAUUGGUUUUGCUAUCUGAUGAUCCUUCAUAGUGGUCGGGUUUGAUUAAACGUUGUUGUGUUGUUGAGUCGGUAUGUGCGACCACAAAGUUUUUAGGGAGUGGAGUUUGACUGAGAUAUCUGUGGAGUGAGAGAGGACUGAGGUUAGAGAGAAAUCAGGGAUUGGAGGUGGACUCAGAAGUUGAGGGAAUCGUGGGAUUGAGGAGGCUCAAAGUCCCUAUUUUCCAGGCUUUUCAAAUGUGAAUCAUGGGGCUGUGAUUCAAAUCUUACUGAUGUACAUUUUUUUGUUUUCAAUUGGUUCUCGAUGUCAACACAGAAGGUUGAUCUCAAUUGAAUUUUUUUUACUUGCAGGAUAACAUAUUGUCAAUGGAUGAAUGAACUCCAACUUCUCUUCAUGACAGUGUCCUUCCUUUCUAUAAUCUUCAAGAACGACGACAUGUUAUACAUGAGAUGCAGUGGUCCAGAUUUACUUGGAUAAUACUGGUGAUCUGGAACUUAUUGCAAAAAGCCUUGAAUCUUCUGACCUCAACUUCUCAAGAUAAGGUAUACGGGGGAAAGAUUACCCCAAUACAAAGAGGAGAAGUUUGGGCAUCGGAUUUUGGAGCCAAAGCAAGCUUUCUUUUUCAUUGGGCUUCUAAUUUCUUCGUCUUCUCUCUCUUUCAUGUUUGAUUUUGAUUUAGUUUUCAAAGUUCCAGGUUUCAUGGUGUUGGCUCACGCAAAAGAGGAAAGAUCCAUCACCGAUGCAGUUUCUGAUGAUGCGACGGUGUUUUUUAUUACUUUGUAUGAUUUGUUAAAUUCUGUUUGGAUAAGUUGUGACCUGAUUUUGAUGUGGGUUUGUGCAGGUUCGAUGAUGAAGCACAAGUUUGCUUGGCCAUAAAAAAGAAAGGAUGGCAAUGACAGUGACAGAGAUUGAUUGGUUCUUUGUAGUAUGGUAUUGUACAUUUGAAUGCUUUUGUCUAUUUCAAUACUGUUGGAAUGUUUUUGUCUUUGAAUUGUCAAUUAUUAUGAGGGUUCGGUCUAUUUUCUGGUCUGGAUGCUUUUGGUUGUGAAUUGCAUUGAAGUUGGUUUAGAGUUGAAUGUGUAAGGAAUGUGAAAUCUGGACCUGUCGUGGUUUUCUUUUGAAUGUAUGAUAGCUGAACGAUUGUUUUGAACUGUUAGGUUUGAAUUUGGGGUGUUAAAUGUUGCUGGUAUUGGAAUUGAAAUAAGGGGAUGCUAGAUUAGCAAUGUUAGUUUGAAUGAUUAUAGUGUAGAAUUGGUGGGAUGAUGUCUCUUGGGAUAUCAAAGCUGUAAAUUUGAGAACAUUAGGAAGAGUGGCUCUCAUUAUUACAACUUUGUCUGAAACAGUGUUGUCGUUCAAUACUAUUCUGAAUCAUGACGCUGAUUAUGCUCCUCCUGUUGCUUCUCAUGAUACCAUUCGAAUUGAUGCGGAAAUGGAGAUACCUCUUUUGAGUCUUUCGUCAUAUGAGGAGAAGCUGGCUAAAGUGGCACAACAGUGGCAGAAUACUAUUACUGGUGUGGGUCAAAGGUUUAGCAGUCUACAUGAGUUUCGAGAGACGUUGUGUAAAUAUGCUAUUGCUCAUCAAUUUGCAUUCAAAUAUAAAAAGAGCGAUAGUCAUCGUGUGACCGUUAAAUGCAAAGCAGAAAGUUUGCUAUGUGUUAAAAGCAUUAGUAGGUUAUUUUACAGGGACUAAGCACAUUUAACCUUAUUAAAAAUGUGAAAUGACUUGAUAUCUGUGUUCUGGCAUUUUAACAGAUUGGGAAAGGAAGGAUACUAAUUGAAGGUGAAAGAGUACCCUCUUGGCCUAUGGAACAACCGUUCAGAACUAUUUAGUAGCAGCUUCUCUUGGGAUUUAUUUAUAGUUUCAUCAUCUUUUGUUGUCUAUGUUUUUGGAUUUGCCCAAAUAUUUGAAAAAAUGACUUGAAGUUGCAGCCUAAAAUAAUAGUUUUUUAUCUACUGAUGAUAAUAUGGAAUAUUGAUAUUAACUUGUGACCCAAACUUUGCUUUUUCUUUACUUCCUACUAUUGAUUAUAUGCCUAACUAGCAACUUCAUAAUUUUGUUAUUCAGGUUGAUGCCAAGAGGGGCAUUCUCAAGAGAGGACCAACCAAUUUCUGCCACUUCAAGAACUGGAAAUUCUGAUUCUGGUUUGAAUUCAGGUAAUGGUGGAAAUAUGAGGACCAAAAAGAUAUUUGUUGGAGGGUUACCCCCCACUCUGACUGAAGAAAAUUUCGUCAGUACUUUGAGGCAUAUGGACAUAUAACUGAUGUUGUAGUCAUGUAUGAUCAGAAUACUGUACGAUCAAGAGGAUUUGGGUUUAUUACAUUUGAUACUGAAGAGGAAGUUGAUAGGGUUUUGCACAAGACAUUUCAUGAUUUAAAUGGUAAGCAAGUAGAGGUAAAGCGUGCACAUCCAAAGGAUGCCAAUCCUGGUGCAAGUAGUCGAAUGAUGGGUGGUGCUGGAAUCCUGGUGCAGAAUUGCUAAGCAAAAGAAAUUGAGAAGGAGAACUACUGCAUUUUAGAAUCUCAAAUUCAAAUGCUAUUAGGUCGUAUCAGAAUCCAGAGUUUCCUCAAAUUGCAGAGGAGAAAAUCUUAGGCAUUGGUGCCAACAAUAAACAGCCUGUUCUGAAAUGGGAGAAUAAUAUGGCAUGGCCUGGAAAACUCAUUCUUACUGAUAAAGCCAUCUAUUUUGAGGCAGUUGGCUUACUGGUAAUUAAGAGAGCCAUGAGAUUGGAUGUUACAUAUGAUGGAUUGAAGCUACCUUAUCGGCUGUGACAACGAACUUGGAAAAUUACAUACUAGCCAUCCUGAGGCCCGUGACAAAGUUGGUGGCAGGAGCAUUAUGCAUAUAGACGGUCUCCGAAAAUUCACGAUGCUAUGGCUGCAUAAGACGGAGGAGGUUCGAGCUGAUAGAACUCAUUAUGCAAGAAAUAUAACAGGAGACAUAUAUUAGUCCGGGUGGAUCAGUGAGAUGUAUGGUUACUCAUUUGGUGCGGCUGAGAUGAAACUAAAGCAUACUAUAAGCAGUGAGAUACUGAUACACCCGGGAUAUGUUCCCGUGCUGAACGUCAAAUAUCGAGCUUUUCAAUAUGGAUUGCUAUUCAGUGUCAGGAAUUGGAACUUCGACAAAGCAGGCUGAAUAGGUCUUGUAACAUGUUCCAUCUAUGGUAAUCUACAUAAUUGACGUGUCUCAUAUGGAUUACAAUUUACAACCACUUAUUUUAUUUGAAGUAGUCUCAUAUAUUGAUUACAAUCACUUAUUUUACUUGAUGCAAUGAAGUCCUGUGUAGAUAGCUUCUACAUAAGGUGAAGUUAUGGAACACGGAAUCUGGAAAGAUUUUCCUGAUGAUUUAUUUGAGGCGGUAAUUGCACAGCUUGCUAUUGCCACUUUUUCCGUCAAUGAAGUUCUUUGCUGGCUUCUCAAAGCUUUUCUCAGCAUUGUGCCCAAGUCCCACAAGAAAAUUCGUGGUUUUACACCAUAACGCAUGAAAAUGUGAAUUCAGGAGCCAUGUAUGACCCUUCUUUGAAAAAGUGGCAUCAUCCUUCUAUAUCAGCAAUGCCCACAAAGUUGAUUGUUUUGCCAGCUCGGUUAGUAAGGGUCUGGUCUCGCGUUGUUGUAGGGAUGAUCUAUUAGCUCCCAUAAGAAUAACAGUGAGAAAUAUUUGUUGCAUAAAACUAUUUCAUGAUAAAAUGAUAGUGUACUGUAAAGGUAUAUUUGUAGAAGCGUAUAUGAUUAAACUCAAUUUUAUUUUUGACAUUCAACUA
Long non-coding RNA from Vicia villosa (hairy vetch), 4657 nucleotides. RefSeq lists it as uncharacterized. The transcript has 11 exons. The record is from RefSeq and is a predicted model, not a curated record. Lineage: Eukaryota; Viridiplantae; Streptophyta; Magnoliopsida; Fabales; Fabaceae.